AGAGCGUACGGGGGAUGCCUAGGCUCUCGGAGGCGAAGAAGGACGUGACAAGCUGCGAAAAGCCGCGGGGAGGCGCAAAUAGCCUUAGAUCCGCGGAUGUCCGAAUGGGGGAACCCGGCAUGUGGAAGACAUGUCACCGCGCAAGCGGGGCGAACGCAGGGAACUGAAACAUCUAAGUACCUGCAGGAACAGAGAACAACAGUGAUUCCGCGAGUAGCGGCGAGCGAAAGCGGAGGAGCCCAAACCGGGUCCGUCGAGGCGGGUCCGGGGUAGAAGGACAGCGAGAAGGCGAAGGCGAGGCAGGGGAGCCGCCUGGAAAGGCGGGCCGGAGAGCGUGAAAGCCGCGUACCCGAAACCGAGCCGCAGCUGCGCUGGAUCCUGAGUAGGGCGGGGCUGGAGAAACCCUGUCUGAAACCGGCGGCACCAUCCGCCAAGGCUAAAUACUACCGAGAGACCGAUAGAGGACCAGUACCGUGAGGGAAAGGUGAAAAGAACCCCGGACAGGGGAGUGCAACAGAACCUGAAACCGUGCGCUUACAAGCGGUCGGAGCCCCGUAGAGGGGUGACGGCGUGCCUUUUGCAUAAUGAGCCUACGAGUUGCUUCUCGCUGGCGAGGUUAAGGCGAUUCAGCGCCGGAGCCGAAGCGAAAGCGAGUCUGAACAGGGCGUUCAGUCAGCGGGAGCAGACGCGAAACUUUGUGAUCUACCCUUGGGCAGGCUGAAGGCGCCGUAACAGGCGCUGGAGGGCCGAACCGAUAGCCGUUGAAAAGGCUCCGGAUGACCUGAGGGUAGGGGUGAAAGGCUAAUCAAACUGAGAGAUAGCUCGUACUCCCCGAAAUGCCUUUAGGGGCAGCCUGGCGUCAGAUUCCGAGAGGUAAAGCUACUGAUAGGAUGCGGGGGCUUCGCCGCCUGCCAAUUCCUGACAAACUCAGAAUGCUCGGAAUCGAUGCGCCGGAGAGAGGCGGCGGGUGCUAAUAUCCGCUGCCGAGAGGGCAAUAACCCAGACCCGCGGCUAAGGUCCCGGAAUCUGCGCUGAGUUAAACAAACGUGGUUACACUGCAUGGACAGCUAGGAUGUUGGCUUGGAAGCAGCCAUACAUUUAAAGAGUGCGUAACAGCUCACUGGUCGAGCGGUGUUGCAUGGAUGAUGAACGGGUAUAAGCGCGGUACCGAAGCCCGGGGAUAGCGAUAUCGGUAGGGGAGCAUUCCAUAUGCGCCGAAGGCGGGCCGUGAGGCUUGCUGGAGCGUAUGGAAAAGCAAAUGUAGGCAUAAGUAACGAUAAGGAGGGUGCGAAACCCUCCCACCGGAAGACCAAGGUUUCCUGAACAACGAUAAUCGGUUCAGGGUCAGUCGGGGCCUAAGGAUAAGCCGAAAGGCGAUACCGAUGGACAGCUGGUCAACAUUCCAGCACCCGGCGGCGAAUCGAAGGAGAGACGGAGAAGUGACAGACCCGCGCGCUGACGGAAUAGCGCGUUGAAACGGGUAGGGCAGGCCGGCAGGCAAAUCCGCCGGCCGAUCCCGAGCGUGAAAGUACCGCGGACCCACGGGCGAGCGGACAGCGGUCGUAAGCAAGCUCCCUGGAAAAACUUCUAAGGCGUGUCGCCGCCGGCCCGUACCGGAAACCGACACAGGUGGUCGAGGAGAGAAUCCAAAGGUGCUCGAGUGAUCCGUGGCUAAGGAACUAGGCAAAAUAGCCCUGUAACUUCGGGAGAAAGGGCCCCCGCGCGAGCGGGGCGCAGAGAAAUGGCCCAGGCGACUGUUUAACAAAAACACAUGGCUUUGCGAAAUCGCAAGAUGAAGUAUAAGGCCUGACACCUGCCCGAAGCGUUGAAUUGAAGCCCCGGUAAACGGCGGCCGUAACUAUAACGGUCCUAAGGUAGCGAAAUUCCUUGUCGGGUAAGUUCCGACCUGCACGAAUGGUGUAACGAUCUGGGCGCUGUCUCAGCCACGAGCUCGGUGAAAUUGUAGUAGCGGUGAAGAUGCCGCUUACCCGCAACGGGACGGAAAGACCCCGUGAACCUUCACUACAGCUUUACAUUGAUUCUGGGCAAACGAUGUGUAGGAUAGCCGGGAGGCUUUGAGGCGGGCACGCCAGUGUCCGCGGAGCCGCCGUUGAAAUACCGGCCUUUGUUUGUCUAGGGUCUAACGCGGCGGGUGCCGCGGACAGUGUAUGGCGGGUAGUUUGACUGGGGUGGUCGCCUCCAAAAGAGUAACGGAGGCUUUCAAAGGUUCCCUCAGCACGCUUGGUAACCGUGCGCAGAGUGCAAUGGCACAAGGGGGCUUGACUGUGAGGCCGACAGGCCGAGCAGGUGGGAAACCAGGACAUAGUGAUCCGGCGGUUCCGCAUGGAAGGGCCGUCGCUCAAAGGAUAAAAGGUACUCCGGGGAUAACAGGCUGAUCACCCCCAAGAGCUCACAUCGACGGGGUGGUUUGGCACCUCGAUGUCGGCCCGUCACAUCCUGGGGCUGGAGAAGGUCCCAAGGGUUCGGCUGUUCGCCGAUUAAAGUGGCACGCGAGCUGGGUUCAGAACGUCGCGAGACAGUUCGGUCCCUAUCUGUUGUGGGCGCAGGAAGUUUGAGGGGCUCUGACCCUAGUACGAGAGGACCGGGUUGGACAGACCUCUAGUGUACCGGUUGUAACGCCAGUGGCACCGCCGGGUAGCUAAGUCUGGAAGGGAUAAGCGCUGAAAGCAUCUAAGUGCGAAGCCCGCCCCAAGAUGAGACUUCCAUAGAGGGUGGUCGCAGACUACGACCUUGAUAGGCCGCAGGUGUAGAGGCAGCAAUGUCACAGCCGAGCGGUACUAAUGACCCGAAGGCUUUCCGU
This 2821-nucleotide ribosomal RNA is filed under the name Candidatus Alcium sp. F082. RNAcentral describes it as "bacterial LSU rRNA". It matches the Rfam family "Bacterial large subunit ribosomal RNA". Lineage: Bacteria; Pseudomonadati; Bacteroidota; Bacteroidia; Bacteroidales. The record is from RNAcentral.